AAUUCAAAACCUAGCCUAACCCCACCCACGCAAAAAACAUCUUUAUUUAACCAAAACAUUUGACAAAAUAAGUAUAUGAGAUAGGAAACUUGAAAUUAGCGCACUUGUACCGCAAGGGAAACAAGAAAGGAUUAAUUAAAACUUAAAAGCCAAAAAGCAGAGAUCACACCACAUACCUUUUGCAUCGAUGGUUUAACAAGACAAAAUAGACAAAGAGGCACUGCACCCUUUAAGCCUAUGUCGCCCGAAAUCAAGUGAGCUACCCCAGACCAACUUCUAAGAGUCAACCCGUCACUGUAGGCAAAAGUGUGGGAAGAGCCUAGGGUAGUGGUGAAAAGCCAAACGAACUUGACAAUAGCGUGGUUGUCCGACAAAUGAAUAUAAGUUCAACCUUAAAUAACACAUUUUUCUGCCGUAAAUAAAUAACUAUUUAAGAUUUAGUCACUGGGGGCACAGCUCCAAUGACCAAGGAUGACAACCUUAUAUAGUGACAACCACACAUAUCUCUCCCCAGUAGGCCUCAAAGGCAGCCAACAAAAACCUAAUGCGUUAAAGCAACUCAACCCCUAAUCCCAAACAGUACAACAACUCCUACCUCCAAUCGGACCAUUCUACACCAUAGAAAUGGACCCUGUUAAAACUAGUAAUAAGAAACAAUUCUCCAUAACGCAAGCAAAACUCAAGCAGACACAACAAUGCACCAAAAAUACCAAAAUACAACAACCAAACCAAACUGUUAACGCCAACCCAGGAGCGUGUCCUUAUGGAAAGAUAAAAAGCUGUAAAAGGAACUCGGCAACAGUAAGUCUCAACUGUUUACCAAAAACAUAGCCUUUAGCCAAUCAAGUAUUAAAGGUGAGCGCCUGCCCAGUGACUCGUUUAACGGCCGCGGGAUCCUCCACCGUGCAAAGGUAGCAUAGAUCACUUGUCUCCUAAAUAGAGACUAGUAUGAAUGGCCAAAUGAAGACUUACCUGUCUCUGUGCAGCCUAUCUAUUAAACUGAGCUUUCAGUACAAAAGCUGAAAUAAUAACACGAAGACGAAAAGACCCUGUGGAACUUAAAGCUACAGUCAACACAAUGGCCUAACGGCUUUUAGUUGGGGCAACUUUGGAAAUAAACAAAACUUCCAAUAAACUAUUAAGAUAGGACACAUCUAAACCUUUCUUCAAUGACCCAGUAUUACUGACUAAAGAGAAAAAGCUACCCCAGGGAUAACAGCGCCAUCCCCUCUUAGAGUCCCCAUCGAAGAGCGGGGGUUUACGACCUCGAU
RNAcentral lists this ribosomal RNA (1271 nucleotides) under Gymnophthalmus leucomystax. RNAcentral describes it as "partial 16S ribosomal RNA". It matches the Rfam family "Bacterial large subunit ribosomal RNA", at positions 383 to 2530 of the family's 2925-position model. Lineage: Eukaryota; Metazoa; Chordata; Lepidosauria; Squamata; Gymnophthalmidae. The record is from RNAcentral.